Molecule: transfer RNA, 71 nt
Filed under: Anaerolineales bacterium
Lineage: Bacteria; Bacillati; Chloroflexota; Anaerolineae; Anaerolineales
Description: tRNA-Gln
Rfam family: tRNA
About the family: Transfer RNA (tRNA) molecules are approximately 80 nucleotides in length. Their secondary structure includes four short double-helical elements and three loops (D, anti-codon, and T loops). Further hydrogen bonds mediate the characteristic L-shaped molecular structure. tRNAs have two regions of fundamental functional importance: the anti-codon, which is responsible for specific mRNA codon recognition, and the 3' end, to which the tRNAs corresponding amino acid is attached (by aminoacyl-tRNA synthetases). tRNAs cope with the degeneracy of the genetic code in two manners: having more than one tRNA (with a specific anti-codon) for a particular amino acid; and 'wobble' base-pairing, i.e. permitting non-standard base-pairing at the 3rd anti-codon position.
Source: RNAcentral
UGGGGCGUGGUGCAAUGGUAGCACAGCAGACUUUGGAUCUGUUUAUCCUGGUUCGAAUCCGGGCGCCUCAG